Molecule: long non-coding RNA, 777 nt
Organism: Helianthus annuus (common sunflower)
Lineage: Eukaryota; Viridiplantae; Streptophyta; Magnoliopsida; Asterales; Asteraceae
Exons: 3
Source: RefSeq, a predicted model, not a curated record
GCUCUGUUCCUUUAAUCUUGAAGUUGCCGCCAUAACUCUACAUAGACAAGUAUGCCUUCAUCUCGGGACUCGGUAUUAUUUACACGUUUCUUGUUUUUUUUCAAGAAUCUGGACAUAAAUGCAGCCAAACCCCUUUUAUGCCUUUUAAUCUUUACCAUAAACCUCCUGUGAAAACUUGAAAGAUUUCCACAUAAUAAUCUCAAGGGUUUUAUAACAAUAUAUACAUGUGUCUUGACAAACAUAAACGUACACACCCUUCUGUUCCUACACGACACCCUCACAUUUGACACCCACACAAACCCAAAACAUCUCGACAUCCUCACAAUACUCUUUCGCCAACCUGGCCGGAGAAAUCCCGAAGUCCACCGGAGGGAACCUGCAAUCGCCGGAGUUCGGAGACGUCACUGGAACUCGAAGACAACGUCGGAAAGACUCAAAGCCGUCGAGGCCCUACCGACGUCGCGACGGGGAUUGGUUUCAUUUCGGUAUACGUUUUUCCUUUCAUUCAGAUUUUGGGUUGUCUCAUGUUCGGAUAUGCUUGUGCUUGUCCGGUUGUUUAAUAAAGAAGAUGACGCGAACCGAGCUUGCCCGAGAUCGAGGUACGCCGGAGCGGACAACGGAAUUCAUCGACGAUAUCGUUUCAUCUUGUUUCGGUUAAUCGCCCUCGUUCGUCCUCUUGAUUUCUUUACUCGUGCGUUAUUUUACAAGAAAUCGCAACGCAAUCACAGUUGAUGAUGAUGAAAUGAAAACGGAUAGCAAAGAUGCCUAGAUACUCAC